CUCCUGUUGGACGUGAGACCUGCCCUUGGCCACCGCGGCCCUGAGACGCUGCACAGUAUCCUCCCACGGUCUCGAAUGUGCCGGCCGCGGUGGACACGGUGCCCGCGGUGGGCGGUGCGGGUCACCUGGAGCCCAAACGCGGCCAGGCUUCCAACCCUGUGCUGUAAUUGUGGAAACCAGGGGUAGGAGUCUACAAGACCCAAUGUCUCCCUUUGGAAGCCUUACACUCUAAGAAACCUGUGGCCUUUCUUGGGAGGUUAUGGUCCCUAGGCCGCCUGUGGUUGGUUCCUGAGAUGCCCUGUGUUCACCGUGUGCAACAUUGUGUGAUUAGCUCCCCACCGACUGCCUCCCAUGAGAGUUUCUUCUGACCUUGUCCCACUUCUCCCCUGGAAAUAGUAUGAAACACACUGUGCUUCUCAGUGCGUUUCAGUUGGCAUGAGAUGCAGCCUGCGAAAGACCUCCCGAGCUUACCAGCUCUGUCAUCAUAAUCUCUGACCCCCUGGACCUUCCUCCUCAGGACCCUGUCUGUCACUCGUCUGGGUUGAAGUGGCGUCCCAGUGUAGAAGAAAGAUUUACAUGGCAUGUAAUACUAGCACACAAAAAGGUUAACACUUUCAGAUGGACAACUUUCAACAAUAACAACAAAUUGAAGAACAAUUACAGCAGCUGCCACAAGAGAGCUGUUGAAGUCAGCUUUGGCGAUGGUGUUCCUUUGGUUUUGCAAUGCUACACUGAAACUUGAAGAGAAAAUGCUCCUUCUCUAUCUGUGUGACUCCUCCCCCUGCAGAAUAGAGAACUUUGUAUCGUGGAAACAGUGACUCAGGUGCUACACUGGAUGGAUGCUUUCUUUAUAGGCCAAGCAUGAAUUGAAGAUGGGAGAGCCUGCAAUGCUGUGGACGUGAUCUGUCUUCUCCUAAACCCACUGACAUUCACUCUCCACAGUGAGAUAUUGGAAUAUGUCUCCUUGGGUAGACCAAUCUGACCCUGUGACUUUUUUCCACAGAGGACUUAGACUGUUUGGUCGGGUCACUGGCAUACUGAGGGUCUGUACCACCUUGAACCACCACAUGUAAGAAGGCCAUUGCCAACUGUGGGCCCCUCAGCCUGAAACCUUUGAAACUGUGAGAUGAAAUAAAAACCCUUUCUUCAUUAGCCAGUCUGUGUAAUGGUGGUGUUAUCAGCAGGAAAGGAAAAAGACAGGUUCAUUGUUUAAAAUUAAUCCUUUCAGGAUGGCACCAGCAGAAAAUUGAACCAAGCAUGGUACCAAGUAAGC
RNAcentral lists this long non-coding RNA (1273 nucleotides) under Cricetulus griseus (Chinese hamster). RNAcentral's name for it is "lncRNA (ENSCGRG00015034475.1)". The record is from RNAcentral. Lineage: Eukaryota; Metazoa; Chordata; Mammalia; Rodentia; Cricetidae.